AUGAUGGGUAUUAUGUGCAUUGUGUAUUGUGUAUUAUGUAUUAUGUAUGGUGUAGGUAGCAAGCAGCUUCCUUUUGUCCCAGGUCAUGUAAUAUCAUCAGCAAAAAUAGAACUUAAGACAACAAGGUCUUACAUUUUUCUUGUUAAAGAAGAAGGUGGUGUAGCAAGACUGAUGAUAGUGUUGCUCUCUCGGUGUGGUAACUCAUACUGUGGCAGUGUAGUUUGGUCAUGCCAUGACGAGUGGCAUGAUCAAAACAAGGAUCAGUUCAACUUUUUGAUAAUAACAGAGAAAAAAGAAAGCAAGGACAAAGGGGGCGGACUGGGAAGAGUCUGGCUAUUAUCACAAAUCGUAAUCGGCAAAAUUCUAAUAGUAUACGACGAAUCCAGUUGA
This 390-nucleotide ribosomal RNA is filed under the name Triticum aestivum (bread wheat). RNAcentral's name for it is "partial small subunit ribosomal RNA". Lineage: Eukaryota; Viridiplantae; Streptophyta; Magnoliopsida; Poales; Poaceae. The record is from RNAcentral.